AUGAUUGAGAACUCUCUUUUUGUUCAAACUGUGUUACAAGUUUGUUUUUUUGUUUUCUUCCAGCAGGUGGACCUAAAAACAGACCAAGUAUGCAAGGGAAUGCUAGGAUCAACGUAUGAGAGCUAUUCAUACUCUGAUCACAAUUGCUGAGAGUCUCAAGAGCAAUUGAGUUGCUGUUGAAAAGACCAUAAGCACCUCUACUGUUGUCUCGAAGCUGGAUGGCGAAGAUGGACGGAUUGUGUUGAAGGCUCAGGCUGAAGAAGUCGAGGAGACUGCAGUUCCUGUGGUUGCAGCGUGAAGGCAUAUGUGAUUCAGCAGAGUUUGAGUUGAAACUUGGAUGAUGAGUAGUAGCUGGGUAAUUCAUUAGAAUAAUAAGGAUGUGUAAAUGAGAAACAGGUUUAGCACUUUGCUUCCUAAUGCAUGUUUUCUUACAUGCCCUUUGAUAUAAAUAAUGAGAUUUUUUGCAGCUCACAGCUCUCUCUCUCUCUCUCUCUCUCUAAGGAUGUAUAUAUGGGAGACAUGUUUAGCACUUUGCUUCCUAAUGCAUGUUUUCUUACAUGCCCUUUGAUAUAAAUAAUGAGGGAAUGUCCAACUGAGUUGGGCAGUUUUUGUUCAUUCUGUUAAGGUGAGCGUCUUUGGAGGUAUUGUGGGUAUAUUGUCCGAAUUGGGGUUUUUAAAGUUGAAAUUCAAUCUGGGAUUCUGAAUUUUUUUUACAACUUAGUAAUUUGUGGAGUUAUUCUUAGUUUUUAUCAAGAAAUUUGAUUUAGGUUUCAUAUAUUUUGUGAAAUUAGAUACUUUUUUGUGAAGAUUUUUUUUAAUAUAUUGUUGUGGUAGUUAAGGUAAUUUACGCGUUUGAAAAAGCUCGAGAGUUGAAUGUGACAAAGUAAGCAGAUCAGCAUGUAAACCUGAAACCAAGAAGCUCAAACCCCGAGAAUUCGAUGUAAUUAACCUUAAUUAUGUGACUCAAAAUCUGGGGCAGCUUCUGGACCUUAUUCUCAGGAAGGUAACAUUUUUAAUUAUU
RNAcentral lists this small RNA (1021 nucleotides) under Malus domestica (apple). RNAcentral's name for it is "sRNA MD02G0210900". The record is from RNAcentral. Lineage: Eukaryota; Viridiplantae; Streptophyta; Magnoliopsida; Rosales; Rosaceae.